RNAcentral lists this ribosomal RNA (775 nucleotides) under uncultured Neocallimastigales. RNAcentral describes it as "partial large subunit ribosomal RNA". It matches the Rfam family "Eukaryotic large subunit ribosomal RNA", at positions 22 to 645 of the family's 3401-position model. The record is from RNAcentral. Lineage: Eukaryota; Fungi; Neocallimastigomycota; Neocallimastigomycetes; Neocallimastigales.
GUACACGCUGUGACUAGCAUAUCAAUAAGCGGAGGAAAAGAAACUAACAAGGAUUCCCCUAGUAACGGCGAGUGAAGCGGGAAGAGCUCAAAUUUGAAAUCUUAAAGGGUUUCCCUUUACGAAUUGUAGUUUAAAGAAGUGUUUUCUGUUGAGGUUUUGGUAAAAGUUCUUUGGAAUAGGACAUCAUAGAGGGUGAGAAUCCCGUAUUUGACCUUUACUUUCAACUUUGUGAUACACUUUCAAAGAGUCGGAUUGUUUGGGAAUGCAGUCCAAAAUGGGUGGUAAAUUUCAUCUAAAGCUAAAUAUUGGCGAGAGACCGAUAGCGAACAAGUACCGUGAGGGAAAGAUGAAAAGAACUUUGAAAAGAGAGUUAAACAGUGCGUGAAAUUGUCAAAAGGGAAGCGUUUGACACCAGUGUUGUUUUUCUGAAAAUCAAUUAAAGAACUGUUUAUGCUAAGCUGUUUAGACUUUAUCAGCUAAUCUGUUUAGUUUUGAGCUUUUCUUUAAUGCACUUUUCAGUUAACAAGUCAACAUCAAUUUCUUUUGCUGUAAAAAAGCUUGAGGAAGGUGGCUUGAGAUUCGUCUUAAGUGUUUAUAGCCUCUUGCCUAUGCAGUCGGAGAGAUUGAGGUCUGCAGCGUAGAUCCUUCGGGGCUAAAUGCAUUUGUGCUAAGUUAUAGCAUUUCAUAGACAACUUGUUGACUAUGAUUUGUCUUGUAGCUUACUCGCUUAUGUUAUUUUACCUACGCUUAGGAUGUUGAAGUCAUCGUAUCGCGC